Chrysemys picta bellii (western painted turtle) is the source of this 842-nucleotide non-coding RNA. The record is from RefSeq and is a predicted model, not a curated record. Lineage: Eukaryota; Metazoa; Chordata; Testudines; Emydidae.
AGCCUGCAACAACUUUCCCCAACCCACAUGCCUGUAUUCCUCAAUUCAUUCCUCCACUCAUGGGACUCCUCAGCCCCCAUCUCUCUCCAACAUUCUCCCAGCUCACCACAACCUGCGCCUCCAUCCAUGCCUCCACCUGUAGGGACUGCUCAACCCGCCUUCCUCCCCAACAGCCCCCCAGUUCAUCCCCCCAUCCGUUGGGCCCCAUAGCCUCCUUUUUUCCUCCCUCCCAACACCCCCAGCCCAACGCAACCUGCACCCCACUCUGUCCCUAGAUCUGUGGGCCCUCCAGUGCCCUUUUCUCCUUUCUCCAACAUUCCCCAACCUGCACUCCUAUCCCUACCCUUCCCCCCAGUCCCUCCCACCACCCAUGGGGCCCCUCAGCCUUUCUCUCUCCUUGCUCCCCGACAUGCACCCUUUGUAGGACACAGUCAGGGGUGCUAGGUGUGUAUCCCCACAGGCCAGGUGUCGGGAGCCAUGGAGAAGUAGGGGUGUACGAAAACCAUGCGGGGCAGUGGAUAGUAGAGUAGAGCGGUGACUGAUAGUUUUGCAGAGGAAUCGUCCAGGAGCCCUAGCUGGACAGGAAUAUGGCAGAAGUGGACCUGAGCAGCCUGGACAUCCUUCUAAGGAGACAUGAAUAGUUCUCGUGUUUCUGCCUUCCACAUUAGUGGCUGUGAGUAAGCAGUCAGUGCUUGGAAUUCAUUAUCUGUACUCACUCCAGUUUUGUUCAGAGGCCGUGUGCUUCCUCGUUGAAUAUAGUGCUCUGUGGGAUUAAGGCUGGGGAAGGGACCAGAGUCACAGUUGCCAACUUUCACUGGGUAUAUAAGCACCCCGACUUUCAU